UGAAUGCCAUCUGUGUUGGAGC
Molecule: non-coding RNA, 22 nt
Filed under: Rattus norvegicus (Norway rat)
Lineage: Eukaryota; Metazoa; Chordata; Mammalia; Rodentia; Muridae
Source: RNAcentral